Molecule: ribosomal RNA, 406 nt
Filed under: uncultured bacterium
Lineage: Bacteria
Description: partial 16S ribosomal RNA
Rfam family: Bacterial small subunit ribosomal RNA
Source: RNAcentral
AUUGAACGCUGGCGGCAGGCCUAACACAUGCAAGUCGAACGAGUGGCGGACGGGUGAAUAAUGUCUGGGAAACUGCCUGAUGGAGGGGGAUAACUACUGGAAACGGUAGCUAAUACCGCAUACCAUCAGAUGUGCCCAGAUGGGAUUAGAUUGUGGGGGGGGUAAAUGCUAACCAAGGCGAAGAUCCCUAGCUGGUCUGAGAGGAUGACCAUCCACACUGGACCUGAGACACGGGCCAGACUCCUCCGGGAGGCAGCAGUGGGGAAUAUUGCACAAUGGGCGCAAGCCUGAUGCAGCCAUGCCGCGUGUAUGAAGAAGGCCUUCGGGUUGUAAAGGACUUUCAGCGGGGAGGCGUUACCCGCAGAAGAAGCACCGGCUAACUCCGUGCCAGCAGCCGCGGUAAUUC